UACGGUCAUGACAUCCGUACAGCCAAGUCUGAUCAUGUCUUGGGAGACAAGUUAAGGAGAAGGGCGUGUGAAACUAUCCAAGGGAGAAAGAUCCAUUUGGCAUAUUCAAAGAUGCCUUAGGAAGCAACCAGGAAGGUGCCUUUCUCUCCAGCUCACACAGACCAAUCACAGCAAAGUAUUCAGUCCACAAGACAGCUCAUGACAGCCUGUAAAGGCCAGACACACCAAAGACUCCCAUUGGCCAAGCAUGUGAUGAUUCUGGUCCAUAGAAUUCAAAUGGGCGCUCCCCUUUAUGCUGACUUCACAUGCUUAGGUUAUCUGAUGAAUCCAGCCUCCAUUUAUGUAUUUAAGCUUCUUGUAAACAAUUGGAAACAUUAAGUGAGUAAGGGGGUUUCCCUUCUCCUUCUCUAAUCUCUAGUCUCUUAAGUCUCUUAAUCUCUGUUCUUAAGUCUCUCACAUACUCAUAAACACUCUCACCAAUCCUUUUCUCUAUAUCACCUAGAACAAGCUCUAAUCAUUCUUCAUUGAAGCUUAUACACAC
RNAcentral lists this long non-coding RNA (541 nucleotides) under Brassica napus (rape). RNAcentral describes it as "long non-coding RNA (BNAP_LNC021237)". Lineage: Eukaryota; Viridiplantae; Streptophyta; Magnoliopsida; Brassicales; Brassicaceae. The record is from RNAcentral.